CUUAUGCCGGCGACCGGCGGACGGGUGCGUAACGCGUAUGUAACCUACCUUUGACAGGGGGAUAACAUCGAGAAAUUGGUACUAAUACCCCAUAACAUCACCGGAGGCAUCUUCGGUGGUUGAAAACUCAGGUGGUUAGAGAUGGACAUGCGUUGUAUUAGCUAGUUGGUGAGGUGACGGCUCACCAAGGCGACGAUACAUAGGGGGACUGAGAGGUCAACCCCCCACAUUGGUACUGAGACACGGACCAAACUCCUACGGAAGGCAGCAG
This 271-nucleotide ribosomal RNA is filed under the name uncultured bacterium. RNAcentral describes it as "partial 16S ribosomal RNA". It matches the Rfam family "Bacterial small subunit ribosomal RNA", at positions 78 to 354 of the family's 1533-position model. The record is from RNAcentral.